GUGAGGAAUAUUGCACAAUGGAGGAAACUCUGAUGCAGCAACGCCGCGUGGAGGAUGACGCAUUUCGGUGUGUAAACUCCUUUUAAGAGGGAAGAUUAUGACGGUACCUCUUGAAUAAGCACCGGCUAACUCCGUGCCAGCAGCCGCGGUAAUACGGAGGGUGCAAGCGUUACUCGGAAUCACUGGGCGUAAAGGGUGCGUAGGCUGACUUUUAAGUCAGGCGUGAAAUCCAAUGGCUUAACCAUUGAACUGCGCUUGAAACUGGGAGUCUAGAGUUCAGAAGGGGCAGAUGGAAUUAGUGGUGUAGGGGUAAAAUCCGUAGAUAUCACUAGGAAUAUCAAAAGCGAAGGCGAUCUGCUGGGAUGAUACUGACGCUGAGGCACGAAAGCGUGGGGAGCAAACAGGAUUAGAUACCCGGGUAGUCC
RNAcentral lists this ribosomal RNA (425 nucleotides) under uncultured bacterium. RNAcentral's name for it is "partial 16S ribosomal RNA". It matches the Rfam family "Bacterial small subunit ribosomal RNA", at positions 354 to 796 of the family's 1533-position model. The record is from RNAcentral.